GGGCUUCGGCUCCAAGGAGUGGCGCACGGGUGAGUAGCGCGUGGGAACCUGCCCUGUUGUGGGGGAUAACCGAGGGAAACCUCGGCUAAUACCGCAUAAGCCGGUGAUCCUGAGAGGGGUUAUCGGGAAAGAUUUAUCGCGACAGGAGGGGCCCGCGUCGGAUUAGCUUGUUGGUGGGGUAACGGCCUACCAAGGCGAUGAUCCGUAGCUGGUCUGAGAGGAUGAUCAGCCACACUGGGGCUGAGACACGGCCCAGACUCCUACGGGAGGCAGCAGUGGGGAAUAUUGGACAAUGGGCGCAAGCCUGAUCCAGCAAUGCCGCGUGAGUGAGGAAGGCCUUAGGGUUGUAAAGCUCUUUCACCCGCGACGAUGAUGACGGUAGCGGGAGAAGAAGCCCCGGCUAACUUCGUGCCAGCAGCCGCGGUAAUACGAAGGGGGCGAGCGUUGUUCGGAUUUACUGGGCGUAAAGGGCGCGCAGGCGGCUUUGUUUGUCAGGCGUGAGAGCCCCGGGCUUAACCUGGGAACUGCGUUUGAUACGGCAGGGCUAGAGUUCGGGAGAGGAGAGUGGAAUUCCCAGUGUAGAGGUGAAAUUCGUAGAUAUUGGGAAGAACACCGGUGGCGAAGGCGGCUCUCUGGACCGAUACUGACGCUGAGGCGCGAAAGCGUGGGGAGCAAACAGGAUUAGAUACCCUGGUAGUCCACGCUGUAAACGAUGUGUGCUAGACGUUGGGGAGCCUAGCUCUUCGGUGUCGCAGCUAACGCGGUAAGCACACCGCCGGGGAGUACGGCCGCAAGGUU
RNAcentral lists this ribosomal RNA (798 nucleotides) under uncultured Alphaproteobacteria bacterium. Its description in RNAcentral is "bacterial SSU rRNA". It matches the Rfam family "Bacterial small subunit ribosomal RNA", at positions 75 to 895 of the family's 1533-position model. The record is from RNAcentral. Lineage: Bacteria; Pseudomonadati; Pseudomonadota; Alphaproteobacteria.